RNAcentral lists this unclassified non-coding RNA (330 nucleotides) under uncultured fungus. Its description in RNAcentral is "partial contains 5.8S ribosomal RNA and internal transcribed spacer 2". The stretch from base 1 to 133 matches the Rfam family "5.8S ribosomal RNA", at positions 22 to 154 of the family's 154-position model. The record is from RNAcentral. Lineage: Eukaryota; Fungi.
UGGUUCUGGCAUCGAUGAAGAACGCAGCGAAAUGCGAUAAGUAAUGCGAAUUGCAGAAUUCAGUGAGUCAUCGAAUCUUUGAACGCACAUUGCGCCCUUUGGUAUUCCGAAGGGCAUGCCUGUUCGAGCGUCAUUAUCAACCAUCAAGCCUGGCUUGCCGUUGGACCCUCCUUUUGUCGCCUAGUGACAGGUCCAAAAGAUAAUGACCGGUGUCGUGGUGACCCUAUAUGCAACGAGCUUGUAAGAGCAUGCACUUAGUGGCCGCCCGGCUCGGUUGUCACCCUUUAUUUUCUCAAGGUUGACCUCGGAUCAGGUAGGAAUACCCGCUGA